CGUUUUUCAUACGAUUACCGAAGUUAAGCAAGGUCGAGCUCGGUCAGUACUUAGAUGGAUGACCGCUUGGGAAUACCGGGUACCGUA
Molecule: non-coding RNA, 87 nt
Organism: Acanthosepion pharaonis
Lineage: Eukaryota; Metazoa; Mollusca; Cephalopoda; Sepiida; Sepiidae
Source: the annotation of a GenBank genome assembly